UUUCCCUCAGGAUAGCUGGCACUCGCUCGAGCGAGUCUCAUCUGGUAAAGCGAAUGAUUAGAGGCCUUGGGGCCGAAACGACCUCAACCUAUUCUCAAACUUUAAAUGGGUGAGAUCUCUGGCUUGCUUGAACGCUGAAGCCACGAGAUGAUUAUUUAUAACUUGGAUCAGAGUGCCAAGUGGGCCAAUUUUGGUAAGCAGAACUGGCGCUGUGGGA
Molecule: ribosomal RNA, 217 nt
Filed under: Notaspidium sp. D2525
Lineage: Eukaryota; Metazoa; Arthropoda; Insecta; Hymenoptera; Chalcididae
Description: partial 28S ribosomal RNA
Rfam family: Eukaryotic large subunit ribosomal RNA
Source: RNAcentral